Long non-coding RNA from Sphaerodactylus townsendi, 341 nucleotides. RefSeq lists it as uncharacterized. NCBI's taxonomy places the organism in Eukaryota, Metazoa, Chordata, Lepidosauria, Squamata, Sphaerodactylidae. The transcript has 2 exons. The record is from RefSeq and is a predicted model, not a curated record.
AGAGGCGGAGACAGAGGCAACUUUGGACCAGGGAAAAUGGAUUCCAGAGGAGACCACAGACAAGACCGCCGCGAGAGGCCCUAUUGAGCCUGUAUAGAAUCCCCGACCAUGUGAAUUUAUAAAACUUUUUAUUUGAUACGAUGUCAGGCUAUGUUGCAAGUUUGUGUACUCCGUGUUCCGUUUGUGUAUAAACCUCGUAUUCCCUCCUUUAAUUUUUGUGUGUAUUUGAAAUCCCAUACAUUUACAAGUGAAAAUGUUUUAGUCAUGUGCAGAACUUCUCAACAGGGUGGGGAGGGAUAGGCAGUUUCAGUAAUAAAAACAUUUUCAUUCAAUAUUAAAAA